This 229-nucleotide ribosomal RNA is filed under the name uncultured bacterium. RNAcentral's name for it is "partial 16S ribosomal RNA". It matches the Rfam family "Bacterial small subunit ribosomal RNA", at positions 568 to 796 of the family's 1533-position model. The record is from RNAcentral.
UGCGCAGGCGGAACAAUAAGUCAGUGGUGAAAUCCUACGGCUCAACCGUAGAACUGCCAUUGAAACUGUUGUUCUUGAGUAUAGUUGAAGUGGGCGGAAUGUGUCAUGUAGCGGUGAAAUGCAUAGAUAUGACACAGAACUCCGAUCGCGAAGGCAGCUCACUAAACUAUAACUGACGCUCAUGCACGAAAGCGUGGGUAGCGAACAGGAUUAGAUACCCUGGUAGUCC